This 888-nucleotide ribosomal RNA is filed under the name uncultured archaeon. RNAcentral describes it as "bacterial SSU rRNA". It matches the Rfam family "Archaeal small subunit ribosomal RNA", at positions 18 to 907 of the family's 1478-position model. The record is from RNAcentral.
CCGAGGCCAUUGCUAUUGGAGUCCGAUUUAGCCAUGCUAGUCGAGCGGGUUCAGACCCGCGGCGAAAAGCUCAGUAACACGUGGUCAAACUGCCCUGUGGAGAGGAAUAACCUCGGGAAACUGAGGCUAACACCUCACAAGGCUCUCACGCUGGAACGCGGAGAGCCGGAAACGCUUCGGCGCCACAGGAUGUGACUGCGGUCGAUUAGGUAGACGGUGGGGUAACGGCCCACCGUGCCCAUAAUCGGUCCGAGUUGUGAGAGCAAGAGCUCGGAGACGGAAUCUGAGACAAGAUUCCGGGCCCUACGGGGCGCAGCAGGCGCGAAACCUUUACACUGCACGCGAGUGCGAUAGGGGGACUCCGAAUGCGAGGGCAUACAGUCCUCGCUUUUCUGAACCGUAAGGUGGUUCAGGAAUAAGGGCUGGGCAAGACCGGUGCCAGCCGCCGCGGUAAUACCGGCAGCCCGAGUGAUGGCCGAUCUUACUGGGCCUAAAGCGUCCGUAGCCGGCCGGACAAGUCCGUCGGGAAAUCCACACGCUCAACGUGUGGGCGUCCGGCGGAAACUAUCCGGCUUGGGACCGAAAGACUCGAAGGGUACGUCCGGGGUAGGAGUGAAAUCCCGUAAUCCUGGACGGACCGCCGAUGGCGAAAGCACUUCGAGAGGACGGAUCCGACAGUGAGGGACGAAAGCCAGGGUCUCGAACCGGAUUAGAUACCCGGGUAGUCCUGGCCGUAAACAAUGUCUGCUAGGUGUGGCUCCCACUACGAGUGGGUGCUGUGCCGUAGGGAAGCCGCUAAGCAGACCGCCUGGGAAGUACGUCCGCAAGGAUGAAACUUAAAGGAAUUGGCGGGGGAGCACUACAACCGGAGGAGCCUGCGGUUUAUUG